RNAcentral lists this unclassified non-coding RNA (781 nucleotides) under Hevea brasiliensis (rubber tree). Lineage: Eukaryota; Viridiplantae; Streptophyta; Magnoliopsida; Malpighiales; Euphorbiaceae. The record is from RNAcentral.
UAUUUUCAGUCCUUGCGUUCUGAGGUACGUAAAUAAUUAAUAUCUUGAGCAAAGAAUGGGGAAGUGUCUUGUUAUUCUUUUCUUGCAUUGUAGCAAUGUCCAUCUUACAACUUAAUUAUAGCCAUUUGGGGCUAGCUUGAGACGGUUGGGUUUUGGGUAAAGAAGAAACACAUGCCUAUAAAAAUGGCAAAGGUUGAAUUUCCACAGGCCACUACAUCACAAAGAUAAAAGGUUUUCUUUUAUUCAUUUUUUUUUUCUGAGAUGGCAGGCUAAUGAUAAUUGAUGGUUUCUCAGUUGCCCUGAAGAGUAUAAAAUCAUUAACUUUUAAUUGAUUGAAUCUCACCUUUGUAUGCUUUAAUUCAUUUUGUGAUGAUGUUUUAGGCAGUAUCAAUGGGUUAUAGUGGUACUGUUUGAUUAUAUAACUUUAUCAAUUAAUGAUCAUAUCCUCAAUGAAGUAGACAGCCUUUUUGUAACAGUCAAAACAAAACUAUUUGAGGGUGUUGCUAUCCUUUCCGGCAAACCUAAAAUGAAAUGCAAAACAAAUAAAUAAAUGAAGUAAACUACAUAUGGCAGACAUAUGAUUGACUGUGUUUUGGGCUACUGCUGUUUAGUGUCCAUUGUGUUUCUGGGUUAUGUUACUUCGUAUUCAAGAUUAAUAUUCUAACCAUGAAAAAAAUACUCAAGAAUAUAAUACUUCACCCCAGUCUCAAUUUUGUUGUGUCUAGUUCUUACUGCCUUUUUAAUCUUGUAUCAUUGCAGCUCUAUCAAAAAGGAAUUAAGG